UCAAGAACAUUCGACAAUGGGCGAAAGCCUGAUCGAGCGACGCCGCGUGCAGGAAGAAGAACUUCGGUUUGUAAACUGCUUUUCAUGAUGAUAAAGUCGCAAGACUGAUACUAGUCAUGGAAUAAGGAGCGGCUAACUUCGUGCCAGCAGCAGCGGUAAUACGAAGGCUCCAAGCGUUAUCCGGAUUUAUUGGGCGUAAAGAGUGAGUAGGGGGUCUGAUGCGUUUAUUGUUAAAUUUCGACGCUUAACGUCGGAACCGCAAUAAAUACGAUCAGACUAGAGUGUGUUAGAGGUUUAUAGAACGCACGGUGUAGGGGUGAAAUCCGUUGAUAUCGUGCGGAAUACCAAAGGCGAAGGCAUUAAACUAGAACAUCACUGACCCUCAAUCACGAAAGCGUGGGGAGCAAAAAGG
Molecule: ribosomal RNA, 412 nt
Filed under: uncultured bacterium
Lineage: Bacteria
Description: bacterial SSU rRNA
Rfam family: Bacterial small subunit ribosomal RNA
Source: RNAcentral